ACAAAGGUUACUACAAAGUGGUUGUCCAAAUCAGUACAACCAGCAUUGAGAGAAGACAUUAGAUCUCCUGUGGAUGCAUUAAUAAAGAAGACUAAGACUAAAUUCUCAGUUGAUGUUUCAAGAAGUGUUGCCUAUAGGGCAAGGAGGAAUGCUGUUGGUGUGGUGCAGGGUGACCACAAGCAGCAGUAUUUGAGGCUGAGGGAUUAUCUUCAAGUUGAUCUUGAUACAAACCCUGGGAGCAGGUGUAUUGUCACAACAUUUGUUGACCCAGAAAACUUUGCACCCACUCCUAGAUUCAAGUACAUGUUCUACUGUUUGGCAGCUUCAAAGGAAGGGUUUCUUAAUGGUUGUAGACCAUUUAUAGGGCUUGAUGGAUGUUUCAUCAAGUUAACCACUGGACAACAAAUUCUUGCUGCCACAGGAAGGGAUGGCAACAACAACAUCUACCCUAUAGCUUUUGGUGUGGUUGACAAGGAAGAUGGA
This 483-nucleotide ribosomal RNA is filed under the name Triticum aestivum (bread wheat). Its description in RNAcentral is "partial small subunit ribosomal RNA". The record is from RNAcentral. Lineage: Eukaryota; Viridiplantae; Streptophyta; Magnoliopsida; Poales; Poaceae.